UACGGGGGGGGCAAGCGUUGUUCGGAAUUACUGGGCGUAAAGGGCUCGUAGGCGGUCUGCUACGUCCGCCGUGAAAUCCCUCGGCUUAACCGGGGAACUGCGUCUGAUACUGGAUGGCUUGAGGGUGGGAGAGGGAUGCGGAAUUCCAGGUGUAGCGGUGAAAUGCGUAGAUAUCAGGAGGAACACCGAUGGCGAAGGCAGUUCUCUGGGCCGUAACUGACGCUGAGACGCGAAAGCGUGGGGAGCAAACAGG
RNAcentral lists this ribosomal RNA (253 nucleotides) under uncultured bacterium. RNAcentral describes it as "partial 16S ribosomal RNA". It matches the Rfam family "Bacterial small subunit ribosomal RNA", at positions 524 to 776 of the family's 1533-position model. The record is from RNAcentral.